This 677-nucleotide ribosomal RNA is filed under the name Lactobacillus sp. oral taxon 461. RNAcentral's name for it is "bacterial SSU rRNA". It matches the Rfam family "Bacterial small subunit ribosomal RNA", at positions 380 to 1048 of the family's 1533-position model. The record is from RNAcentral. Lineage: Bacteria; Bacillati; Bacillota; Bacilli; Lactobacillales; Lactobacillaceae.
AGUCUGAUGGAGCAACGCCGCGUGAGUGAAGAAGGUUUUCGGAUCGUAAAGCUCUGUUGUUGGUGAAGAAGGAUAGAGGUAGUAACUGGCCUUUAUUUGACGGUAAUCAACCAGAAAGUCACGGCUAACUACGUGCCAGCAGCCGCGGUAAUACGUAGGUGGCAAGCGUUGUCCGGAUUUAUUGGGCGUAAAGCGAGCGCAGGCGGAAAAAUAAGUCUAAUGUGAAAGCCCUCGGCUUAACCGAGGAAUUGCAUCGGAAACUGUUUUUCUUGAGUGCAGAAGAGGAGAGUGGAACUCCAUGUGUAGCGGUGGAAUGCGUAGAUAUAUGGAAGAACACCAGUGGCGAAGGCGGCUCUCUGGUCUGCAACUGACGCUGAGGCUCGAAAGCAUGGGUAGCGAACAGGAUUAGAUACCCUGGUAGUCCAUGCCGUAAACGAUGAGUGCUAAGUGUUGGGAGGUUUCCGCCUCUCAGUGCUGCAGCUAACGCAUUAAGCACUCCGCCUGGGGAGUACGACCGCAAGGUUGAAACUCAAAGGAAUUGACGGGGGCCCGCACAAGCGGUGGAGCAUGUGGUUUAAUUCGAAGCAACGCGAAGAACCUUACCAGGUCUUGACAUCUAGCGCCAAUCGUAGAGAUACGAUGUUCCCUUCGGGGACGCUAAGACAGGUGGUGCAUGG